AUGCAGAUUCAGAAGUUGUUCUGGCUGCUGUUGUCAUCUUUUCUGGCUGGCCGAGAUCUGAUGCAGCAGCCUCCAGAAAUCAUACAGACACCAUUACAACUCUUCCCAAAUUGCAUUAAAAAUAGUCAUCAUUCAGAGUUCUUGCCUGAUCUUACGACCUUUCGGGGAUCUGCUUUAAAGGAGGAAACCUUCGUAGAUGAAACUGAAGCCCCUCUAGGCUGUUUUCCAAUUUCAUUUCACCAUUCAUUUGUUGGUGGUGACCACUAUCUAGAACUUAUUAUCAUUCUUAUGAAUAUUUAUAUUUUACUACAAAUAUUCAGUACAGUAGUCCCCCUUCAGUUUCAAUUAUCCAAAGUUAACCAUGGUCCAGAAGCAGGUGAUCUUCCUUCUGAUGUAUAAUGUAUAAUCAGGUCUUAUAAUCAGAAGGUCAACAGUAGCCUAGCUCUGUAUCAUGAUGGCUACAUCAGUCACUGCACUUCAUCUCAUCAUGUAAGCAUUUCAUCACCCUCAUAUCACCACAAGAAGGGUGAGUAUAGUCAGAUAUUUAGAGAGAACAUAUUCACCUAAUUUUAUUAUAGUAUAUUGUUAUAAUUGUUCUAUUUUACUAUUUGUUGUUAAUCUCUCACUGUACGUAAUUGAUACACUAUACUUUAUCAUAGGUACAUAUGCACUAUGUAUAAGAAAAAAAAUCCAUGGUUUCUAUCCAUGGUACUAUCCAUGGUCUCAGGCAUCCACUUGGGUCCCUGUUGGAAUGGGGGGAGGGGUGGUAAUGUAUGUCACUAAACAAUAUGAAGCAGUUUUGUUUACUUUAUAAACAUGGAGUUAUGAUACAUGUAUUAGUCUACCUUUCCCCUCCCCCUUUUACUUAUGGGGCUUUAGAAAGUGUAUCUUUUGAUUCAUUCUAGUUUAUCUGUUUUAACUGUUAUUAGUGUUAUGGGUUGAAUUAUGUAUCAAUCUCAGUACCUCACAAUGUGAACUUAUUUGGGGACAGGGUCUUUACAGAGGCUUCAUUGUUCAAUUAACUUCAUUGUUAAAUCAGUCAUGCGGGUGGGCUCUAAUCUAAUACCAUAGCUGUGCUAAUAAAAUGGGAAAAUGCAGACAUGAAGGCACAUAAGGAAGGAAGAAGAUGUAAAAAGACAUAAGGAGAAGGCCAUCUGCAGGUCAAGGAAAGCAACCUGGAAGAUCCUUCCCUCACACCCUUCAGAAGGAAUUAACAUUGUGAAUACCUUGAUCUUGGACUUCUAGCCUCCAGAACUGUGAGAAAAUAAGUUCCUGUUGCUUAAGACACCUACUCUGUGGUACUUUGUUAUAGCAGCCCUAGAAAAUUAAUACACAUAGUAUCCCACUGUCUGAACAUACCACUUUUUAUUUAUACAUUCUUUUACUGAAAGAUAACUAUGGUUUUUCCAGCUCUCUACUGUAACACAGAAUGUUGCAAAAAACAUUUGGCAUACAGCUCUUGUUAUGCAACACUUUUUCUCAGACACAUACACAAACACAUAUACACAAACCUUGCAGGGGAAUUCUGGUAUGUUGAUCUUCAACCUUCUAAUUAUUGCUAAAUUGCCCUUCAAAGUAUACUCCAUCAGCUGUGUAUGAGAAUUUCUUUACCCUCUCCAAAAUCCGAUAAUGACAGACUUUUGCC
Long non-coding RNA from Mustela putorius furo (domestic ferret), 1645 nucleotides. The record is from Ensembl. Lineage: Eukaryota; Metazoa; Chordata; Mammalia; Carnivora; Mustelidae.